UACGGAGGAUGCGAGCGUUGUCCGGAUUUAUUGGGUUUAAAGGGUGCGUAGGCGGACUGUCAAGUCAGCGGUAAAAUUGAGAGGCUCAACCUCUUCCCGCCGUUGAAACUGGUGGUCUUGAGUGGAUGAGAAGUACGCGGAAUGCGUGGUGUAGCGGUGAAAUGCAUAGAUAUCACGCAGAACUCCGAUUGCGAAGGCAGCGUACCGGCAUCCAACUGACGCUGAGGCACGAAAGCGUGGGGAUCAAACAGG
This 252-nucleotide ribosomal RNA is filed under the name uncultured bacterium. RNAcentral describes it as "partial 16S ribosomal RNA". It matches the Rfam family "Bacterial small subunit ribosomal RNA", at positions 524 to 776 of the family's 1533-position model. The record is from RNAcentral.